Acipenser ruthenus (sterlet) is the source of this 1189-nucleotide long non-coding RNA. RefSeq lists it as uncharacterized. Lineage: Eukaryota; Metazoa; Chordata; Actinopteri; Acipenseriformes; Acipenseridae. The transcript has 2 exons. The record is from RefSeq and is a predicted model, not a curated record.
AAACUGAGAACUUUCUUCAACUAAUUGCAGUACCAGAAACUAGGUUUUAAAAUGGAAAUACAUGUUUGAUAUAAUAGGUUUAUCUUUCAAAACUACACAUUUGACACAUGAUGUAAAGCAACAGGAAGUACACAACAGGGACCAAAUACUGAGUUCUUUCUUACAGACAAAGCUAAUAAAACUCUUUCGAUUCAGCAUACCUCUGCAAACCCCUCACCUCAGCUGUGUUUUAGCAUACUGAAGAUGUCUCAGUGCAGUAACUUUCCACCAGUUGUAAUAUUUCAGUGUAAAUUCAAACAAAUAUAGUAUAUGCUGUACAAGGACAUAAUAGGGGAAGCUAAAUUUAUUGUAAAUCAUAUCGUGUGACGGGCCUGUAAAUUCACUGAAGAGUGAUUUACAAUAGCUUGAGUGCAUGCGGCUAAACACAGGGACAGCAAGCCUGCGAGCCAGCCUCGAUCCUGGGGAACGGUUUGUUUUCCUCUCUCCCCAUGCACUUUGUGUUUCCCAUAUAGGGCUGCUGCUGCAGGCUGUUGUUUCCAUUCUUUGCCGAGCCGAGCUGUCACAUGCUCGCUAUGUUUUUUGACCAUAAAUUCCGCUGUCUCGUUGUGUGAAGUCAGCAUAUUCCAAAGGAGAUGUAUUAAACGGAUUCCUGUUGCCAUUAUUUUUAAGUCUGACAAAAAGGCAGUUGCUGACUAAGGUACCACCUGCGGGUAAAGCAACAGCAUGAAGCCUCGGACGAAGCUCUUUGGACAAAGCUACACAUCCGGUACAAAACCUGGAUUAAUGAAAAAGACAGGGGGAGGUUAGGACAGUGCCUGGCGAGUCACUGAAGAGGAUAGCCCUUGACAAAUGAUCUGCAAUUGCACUGCUGUGGGACUACAAUGCAAUAGCAACGGGUCUCUAUAUGUUCAUUCCAUGGUACAAAAUAGCCAUGGACUUGCACUGAAUGGAAUACCAGUGUGUAUUAAUUGAUAGCACAGACUGUCACUGUAGUGCUGCAAUCACCCCUCCAUUGAGAGUCACUGCAUUGCAUGCAAUAUGAAACCCCACACAAACUGUAUAACCCUAUCUGAAACUUAUCUUUGAAACUAGUCAGAAUAAUUGUACUACCAUAGUACACAUGUCACUGUAAUCCUUAUUUCUUUGUGUGAGUAUGUAUUUAUUUCAUUAAUAAACUAAUAUUCUUUAA